This 72-nucleotide transfer RNA is filed under the name Clonostachys solani. It matches the Rfam family "tRNA". Rfam says of the family: Transfer RNA (tRNA) molecules are approximately 80 nucleotides in length. Their secondary structure includes four short double-helical elements and three loops (D, anti-codon, and T loops). Lineage: Eukaryota; Fungi; Ascomycota; Sordariomycetes; Hypocreales; Bionectriaceae. RNAcentral also lists the same sequence under 3 other names. The record is from RNAcentral.
GCGUAAUUAGUCUAGUGGUUAGGAUUGGUGCCUUCCAAGCACUAGGGCUGGGUUCGAUUCCCAGAUUACGCA